CCGGUAAGUAAGAAACAGAAACAGCUUUUAAACUAUUUAGGAGACUGUCUUUGGUCAAACUUGAAUAAUGAACAUCCUUCUUAUUAAGAUGCUGCUUCCUCAUUGGUUUAUGUUGAAACACAAGUGUAAUUUCCUGUCCCCUCACAGUGUUGGUUUCUCAUCUCAGUGCAAGCAGAUUUAUCUGGCUCCUCGGUCGACAAAAUCAUCUCCUCAAGAAACAUGGGAUCCAGAGUCUGCUGGAGGAGACCCACUUUCUGUUGUUAUCAUGUCCUUCAGAUGAGUAGAGGGUGCGGAGUGAGGAAAAGGAGAAGAGGAAUCAUGCCUUGAUGCAUUGAAUUGUGUGGGAUAGUCUCCGAAGCACAUAAUCAAAAGCGCUGAAAUUCUGCCUCUGUAUGGACUUAUGAUUCCUGGUGGUUAAGGACCACCCAAAAGAAAAAUUUCUGAAGUUCUCCAAACGUAAACUUCUGCAUAUGUCCCUACUUAUCACUACUCUGAUUGAAGUGACAUCAAGGCAUACUGUAUACCUCAGCCAUGGGCUAGUGGGAACAGAAAAGAAGCAAGCACUGUGAAAUGAAAGGAACUGAUUGUGUUGUAGGAAUCAAGAGACCUCUAACAAGAGAAGAGAAGCCACAGCCAGCAACUAAGACACAGCCCCUAGAGGAACAUAAUGAACACAGGGAAGAUUUCAACCAGCAUUAAAUCCUGCUGGGAAAAAGCUCCCAGAAAGUAUGACAAUUGACAUUCAGAAAGCCAACAGGACAGUGAAUCCAGGUGGUCUCCUGUUUGAAGGGGACUGCCCCAGUGAGUGUCUGAGGACAUGCCAAUCGUUGUCUACCCUCCCAGAAGAAUUAAAAUAUCUGAGAAAAUUAUUAGCUGGCCAGGCAAGCCUCAGGGUCAGGGCAAGAUUUUGAUCCCAGCAAGAAGAUGUGGGGAGCUCAUCAUGAGUCCAGGAUGGUGUCUGUCUUUGGUGACCUUUGCCCUGGUUUGUUGGCCAUUUGAGAUAUCCCUAUUCACAAGACCUCACUAAAGGCCAUGUGUUUUGACUUCCCUCUCAUUCUUGGUUGCCUAAAACAAGAGUAACAGCCCUAACUCCCCGCCUUUAAAAGUAAAGGAGAUGUAUUAAUUUGGGCCAAACAAGAGACAUUUGCUGUAGGAAUUUUUAUCAUCGGGUAAAGUCAAAUAUAGGGAUGAGUUGGCCAAUCCUGUCUCUUAGAACCAAGGUUAAGUUUUCUGCAGAAUAAGAAAAAAAAAAAAAAAAAAACAACUGAAUCCUCAAUCAAGAAAUUCCAAUUACAAAAAAAUGAAAGUUUCAUCUUAUGGUUCCUACAAAACCAGGGACUUCUCAUCAAGAUGCCCAAUGACCUUCAUCCACUGUCUUUACUGGGCACACAUUGCUAUGGUUCUUCCAAAUGCUAAGUUUUUCUGUUUUGGGGAUUCAGGAGAAUAUUUCCCAUGCUUUUCCCAUACCAUCAAAAAAAAGUUUAACUCAAUCUAAGAGCAAUUUAAAAUAUUGUGUUAGUAAUGAGAAAUCUGACUAGCUCUAGAAGAAAAAAUAUAAAAUCAACAUAAGCCAGAUUUUAGGGGUCGAAUUUGAAAUUAAUACAAACAAACCAAAAAAAAAAAAAAAAAAACCAAUCCUUUUAAACUAGAAGUUGGGUAUUAGAAGCUGGCUUCUUUCAAAAAAAAAAAAAAAAAAAGGCAACUUAAGCAUAGCUUCCAGAAAGGCUCUAACGUCCUCUGUGUAAUAGCGCCCUCUGGCUUUAGAUUACUUAACAAUGUAUUUGGCUUUGAGCCUCAGGUUUUGUUGAAAGUCCAUGACUGUGCUGGAAAGACAACCCAGGAAUCCUCACAUCUGAAACCCUGCUCAUCUGUUUCUCCUGCAUCUGCCUUCACAAAGAGGAAGUAUGACUCAAGCAAUGCUUCGUCUUCUGUGUAAGAAAGGGCUGUCAAAGAACAGUGCCAAUAAGUCCUUGGGGAUCUUAGCAAUGCCUUACUAUUCUUUGGAAAGUACUCUCUUGAGACUUUAACGUGGAGCUGCCAGCAUACACCAAGGAAAAUGGUCUUCAGGUUGAGAUAUGGCCAGCUAGAACAAAUUGUGGGAAAGGAAGAGACCCAUCCAAGACCAUUAGCAUAAAUGAUUAUUGAUCUGUCAUUCAUGAAGGAAGCUGUUGAGGCUUCCUUAUUUCUUGUUUGUCUGUGCUUAAUUUUAAGACUCCUAAAGUGACCUCUAAAAAGAAAGAAAAUAUUCUUGGAUCAAAUGAAACAAAACCUUGCUUGUUUUUGAGUCUUAAUAUGAAUACAGAUAAUCAAAGAGUUUCUGGAUUCUUCUUGGGGGUUUUAAAUGGAAAGGGUCAGAAAAGUUCCCAAAGGCAUCAUUGGCUUUGGUUGUCCAUAAGAGCUCAAUCUGAUCUUUUUGACCCUUCAAUCUGAGUCUUCCCAUAGAGAAAUCAGGCUCAGCAAGAAUUAGAUUAUUCAUCCCAAUGGAGAGUAAGGAAACCACGUAGGUCCAUGGAGAAGGGCUAAAAACUAUCUUGCAAAAAACUCCAGCCAGAGCCCAAAG
Lynx canadensis (Canada lynx) is the source of this 2560-nucleotide long non-coding RNA. The record is from Ensembl. Lineage: Eukaryota; Metazoa; Chordata; Mammalia; Carnivora; Felidae.